UGGGAUGCAUGAGGUAGCAAAUACGAUGACU
RNAcentral lists this non-coding RNA (31 nucleotides) under Mus musculus (house mouse). Lineage: Eukaryota; Metazoa; Chordata; Mammalia; Rodentia; Muridae. The record is from RNAcentral.